RNAcentral lists this unclassified non-coding RNA (310 nucleotides) under plant metagenome. RNAcentral's name for it is "partial contains 5.8S ribosomal RNA, internal transcribed spacer 2, and large subunit ribosomal RNA". The stretch from base 1 to 105 matches the Rfam family "5.8S ribosomal RNA", at positions 50 to 154 of the family's 154-position model. The record is from RNAcentral.
GAAAUGCGAUAAGUAGUGUGAAUUGCAGAAUUCAGUGAAUCAUCGAAUCUUUGAACGCACAUUGCGCCCCUCGGUAUUCCAUGGGGCAUGCCUGUUCGAGCGUCAUUUGUACCCUCAAGCUCUGCUUGGUGUUGGGUGUUUGUCCCCGUCUCCGCGCGUGGACUCGCCCCAAAGUGAUUGGCAGCCGGCGUACUGGUCCCGGAGCGCAGCACAUGUCGCGCAAACGAGUGCCUUGGUACGGCGGCGUCCAUAAGCCCCUCUCUCACGCUCUUGACCUCGGAUCAGGUAGGGAUACCCGCUGAACUUAAGC